UCCGGUGAUGAUGGCGAGAAGGUCACACCCGUUCCCAUCCCGAACACGGAAGUUAAGCUUCUCAGCGCCGAUGGUAGUUGGGGGCAUCCCCUGCGAGAGUAGGACGUUGCCGGGC
This 115-nucleotide ribosomal RNA is filed under the name Fervidibacillus halotolerans. Lineage: Bacteria; Bacillati; Bacillota; Bacilli; Caryophanales; Bacillaceae. The record is from RNAcentral.